This 492-nucleotide ribosomal RNA is filed under the name uncultured bacterium. RNAcentral describes it as "partial 16S ribosomal RNA". It matches the Rfam family "Bacterial small subunit ribosomal RNA", at positions 29 to 507 of the family's 1533-position model. The record is from RNAcentral.
AGUGAACGCUGGCGGUAGGCCUAACACAUGCAAGUCGAACGGCAGCACAGUAAGAGCUUGCUCUUACGGGUGGCGAGUGGCGGACGGGUGAGGAAUACAUCGGAAUCUACUUUUUCGUGGGGGAUAACGUAGGGAAACUUACGCUAAUACCGCAUACGACCUACGGGUGAAAGCAGGGGAUCUUCGGACCUUGCGCGAUUGAAUGAGCCGAUGUCGGAUUAGCUAGUUGGCGGGGUAAAGGCCCACCAAGGCGACGAUCCGUAGCUGGUCUGAGAGGAUGAUCAGCCACACUGGAACUGAGACACGGUCCAGACUCCUACAGGAGGCAGCAGUGGGGAAUAUUGGACAAUGGGCGCAAGCCUGAUCCAGCCAUACCGCGUGGGUGAAGAAGGCCUUCGGGUUGUAAAGCCCUUUUGUUGGGAAAGAAAAGCAGCAGGUUAAUACCCCGCUGUUCUGACGGUACCCAAGGAAUAAGCACCGGCUAACUUCGUG